AAGAAGGGUAUAGAUGCUUCAAAGCGAAAUUCUAUAGUGACUAAUGAUAAGAAGAACAUGAGUUUACGCACUUCACUUCUUCUGCCAAAAAAGUUGUGGCGAUGUGCGGUUUAUAUGGAGAGUCGAAACAGUAAAAUAUAGAAUAUAUAUGGUCUUUUUAGGGAAUUAAUUGAUCUUAAUUACGUUGUUACAAACGCUACCAAUAUAUAAAGCUAAGUUGAC
This 222-nucleotide long non-coding RNA is filed under the name Prunus persica (peach). RNAcentral's name for it is "long non-coding RNA (PPER_LNC006511)". Lineage: Eukaryota; Viridiplantae; Streptophyta; Magnoliopsida; Rosales; Rosaceae. The record is from RNAcentral.